This 1622-nucleotide long non-coding RNA is filed under the name Triticum aestivum (bread wheat). RNAcentral describes it as "long non-coding RNA (TAES_LNC010290)". Lineage: Eukaryota; Viridiplantae; Streptophyta; Magnoliopsida; Poales; Poaceae. The record is from RNAcentral.
GGUCAUAUAUUUUUCGAUUUUGUUAUGAAAAACAUUGUAACGACCCGAAUCUGAUAAGACUCGAUGUCUUUGUGCUCACUGUGCUAGUCCCUGGAUCGACUCUCUAGCACACACAGUACAUAUGAAUAUCAAAUAAUAAGUGCAUCAUUUACUAUAACGUAUGAUCCAAAAUUUAUAAAAUAUUACAAUCUGAGUAGCACAUAGCUAACUUAUUCAAUAAUAACAACGAAAAGGUAGCAUAAUCAACAAUGAGUCCAUCAAUGCCCACCGGAGAACAUGUUGAGUGAAGACUCGCGACCCUACUGUAUCUCACUGAUCAUCUAAAAAUCCUGCAACAUGAUAAGUUGCAGCCACAAAGGGUCAAUACAUUGAAUGUAUUGGAAAAUCACACAAUAUGAUAUAGCAAACCUACAUCCACAAAGCAAUGUAUGACAAACAAGACACACAAGUUAGUUUGGAGAACAAUGUCUUCACCUACCUCCACUACCUGAACUCACAACUGACUCUAAUUUACUCGCCCAAGAUAACCCAAAGAUUCUAAAUAAACAUGACAAAAACUUCAGAAGUAUGUCUCAAGUGCGCUCUGUCAGUGGCGCAUUCUCUAGGAACAAUAGAGCGCUCUACCAAGGACGCAUUCACCUGAUUUAUCUCCCAAAAACUAUACCUCGCCUCAAGUGCGCUCUGUCAAUGGCGCAUUCUCUAGGGACAAUAGAGCGCUCUGCCAACAACGCAUUCACCUGGUUAAUAAUCCCGAACUUACGGCUAUAAACACUCACCACUUUCAUGGAUCACUCGGCACAUGCCCACGUCUACCAUAGCAAGUUGAUCACACCAUCACAUACCACAAUCGACAACAAAACAUGGUAACACGGGAUACACAUACCAGGCCAAACAUAUAUCAUAGCAUAAAACCACACAUGCAUAGUAUAGGAUGAGCAAAAUCAAAAGUGCAAACUUGCCUUGAACGGUGCUGAAGUACUCUAACGAUUAAUUCCGAUCUGCUUCACACUCCGGACAAUCUAUAUGAUUAACGGAGGCAACGAUAAAUAAACUAUGCUCACAUAACACUAAAAUAAAGUAAACAACAAUGAAUUCAAAUAAAAACUUAAAUAACAAAAAAUAUCAGUAGGUAUAUAUUAUCUACAUGCUAGUAGGAUCACAAUGCAAAAAGAAUCAACUAAUUUGGAUCAACGGUUUAAAAGAUAUGGCCUCCGGAAGUUUGAAUUCAAAUUUAAACAAUAAAUUUGAAUAGUUCAAAAAAAUGUGAAACUUUGGUUCUUCAAUAUUCUCCUGGUCACUACGAGUACACAGGAAAAAGAAUCGAUGAAUUUGGAGUUACGGAUCUCAAGAUAAACCUAAAUGAAAAUUUGAUAUGGAAUCUGCAAAGAACAAUUAUGCCAUAAAAGCGUUCUGGGAAGAACUGCUACGGCACUGUGGAUGUGCCACAUGGCGGAUGCUGAUUGGCUGGAGGUUGUUUGCUGCAGUGGCUAAAGAGCAGACAGCCACUAAACAGCACAUAACUAUUCGAGAGAGAGAAAAAUAGAACAUGAUUUAAUCUGGACCAUUAGAGAGAGAUCGGGCGGCUAAGGGUAGCUCACCGGAGAGGAACAGAGUAGGCCGGC